Molecule: small RNA, 255 nt
Filed under: Arabidopsis thaliana (thale cress)
Lineage: Eukaryota; Viridiplantae; Streptophyta; Magnoliopsida; Brassicales; Brassicaceae
Description: ATSL154730
Source: RNAcentral
AAUUGAAAAAUUCUUUCUAAUGCCCUUUUCAGGAUGCCCCUUUUCAACUUUACACUUUUGUUUUAUCCAUUUUCAUUUGUACCCUCUUUAAAUUUUUAAUGACCAUUUUACUCCUAUUUGAAAAUUGUUUUAGGUUAACAAAAUGAUAUACUAAUACUUUUUCGCCUAAAAUAUUCCAAACAAAAUAUCCCGCCAAAAUUUUCCCGCCAAAAAGUUUCGAAAAAAAUUUCCCGCCAAAAUUGUUUUUUUCAAAAA